UCGAGCGGCAGCGCGGGGGCAACCCUGGCGGCGAGCGGCGAACGGGUGAGUAAUGCAUCGGAACGUGUCCCGUAGUGGGGGAUAACCCGGCGAAAGCCGGACUAAUACCGCAUAUGCUCUACGGAGGAAAGCGGGGGAUUCGCAAGAACCUCGCGCUAUGGGAGCGGCCGAUGUCCGAUUAGCUUGUUGGUGGGGUAAUGGCUUACCAAGGCGACGAUCGGUAGCUGGUCUGAGAGGAUGAUCAGCCACACUGGGACUGAGACACGGC
Molecule: ribosomal RNA, 268 nt
Filed under: uncultured soil bacterium
Lineage: Bacteria
Description: partial 16S ribosomal RNA
Rfam family: Bacterial small subunit ribosomal RNA
Source: RNAcentral